This 491-nucleotide ribosomal RNA is filed under the name uncultured bacterium. RNAcentral's name for it is "partial 16S ribosomal RNA". It matches the Rfam family "Bacterial small subunit ribosomal RNA", at positions 29 to 506 of the family's 1533-position model. The record is from RNAcentral.
AGUGAACGCUGGCGGUAGGCCUAACACAUGCAAGUCGAACGGCAGCACAGUAAGAGCUUGCUCUUACGGGUGGCGAGUGGCGGACGGGUGAGGAAUACAUCGGAAUCUACUUUUUCGUGGGGGAUAACGUAGGGAAACUUACGCUAAUACCGCAUACGACCUACGGGUGAAAGCAGGGGAUCUUCGGACCUUGCGCGAUUGAAUGAGCCGGUGUCGGAUUAGCUAGUUGGCGGGGUACAGGCCCACCAAGGCGAGGAUCGGUAGCUGGUCUGAGAGGAGGAACAGCCACACUGGAACUGAGACACGGUCCAGGCUCCGACGGGAGGCAGCAGUGGGGAAUAUUGGACGAUGGGCGGAAGCCUGAACCAGCCAUAGCGCGUGGGUGAAGAAGGCCUUCGGGUGGUAAAGCCGUUUUGUUGGGAAAGAAAAGCAGCAGGUUAAUACCCCGCUGUUCGGAGGGAACCCAAAGAAGAAGCACCGGCUAACUUCGU